This 377-nucleotide unclassified non-coding RNA is filed under the name uncultured Criblamydiaceae bacterium. RNAcentral's name for it is "contains 16S-23S intergenic spacer region". Lineage: Bacteria; Pseudomonadati; Chlamydiota; Chlamydiia; Parachlamydiales; Candidatus Criblamydiaceae. The record is from RNAcentral.
UCCCGGUUAACCCGGGCAGUCUCGUUAGAGUUCCCAGCCGAACUGUUGGCAACUAACGACAAGGGUUGCGCUCGUUGCGGGACUUAACCCAACACCUCACGGCACGAGCUGACGACAGCCAUGCAGCACCUGUCCGGCGGUCCCGAAGGAAAGCUCCGUUUCCGGAGCGGUCCGCCGCAUGUCAAGUCCAGGUAAGGUUCUUCGCGGUGCAUCGAAUUAAACCACAUGCUCCACUGCUUGUGCGGGUCCCCGUCAAUUCUUUUGAGUUUCACCCUUGCGAGCGUACUCCCCAGGCGGUGUACUUAACGCGUUAGCUCCGGCACAGAUAGGAUUGAGACUAUCUACACCAAGUACACAUCGUUUACGGCUAGGACUAC